RNAcentral lists this long non-coding RNA (203 nucleotides) under Panax ginseng (ginseng). Its description in RNAcentral is "long non-coding RNA (PGIN_LNC009579)". The record is from RNAcentral. Lineage: Eukaryota; Viridiplantae; Streptophyta; Magnoliopsida; Apiales; Araliaceae.
GCCAUCGGUACAACUCAAAAACUGUACAAGUACAUACAUGAAACUCAGAAUAUAACAUAAAUUAAACUAACUACAACCCGUCGUUUGUCUCCAUGUCAUUGAGUCGGCGGUCAUCACCCUGUACUGGAGGAGGCUGCUCCUCAUCAAUUCGACGGUCAUCGUCCUGUACUGGAGAAGGCUGCUCGUCAUCAGCUCGACGGUCA